RNAcentral lists this ribosomal RNA (497 nucleotides) under uncultured bacterium. Its description in RNAcentral is "partial 16S ribosomal RNA". It matches the Rfam family "Bacterial small subunit ribosomal RNA", at positions 28 to 507 of the family's 1533-position model. The record is from RNAcentral.
GAUGAACGCUGGCGGCGUGCCUAAUACAUGCAAGUCGAGCGAACAGACGAGGAGCUUGCUCCUUUGACGUUAGCGGCGGACGGGUGAGUAACACGUAGGUAACCUACCUAUAAGACUGGGAUAACUUCGGGAAAACUGAGCUAAUACCGGAUAAUAUUUCGAACCGCAUGGUUCGAUAGUGGAAGAUGUCUUUGCUAUAACUUAUAGAUGGACCUGCGCCGUAUUAGCUAGUUGGUAAGGUAACGGCUUACCAAGGCAACGAUACGUAGCCGACCUGAGAGGGUGAUCGGCCACACUGGAACUGAGACACGGUCCAGACUCCUACGGGAGGCAGCAGUAGGGAAUCUUCCACAAUGGGCGAAAGCCUGACGGAGCAACGCCGCGUGAGUGAUGAAGGUCUUCGGAUCGUAAAACUCUUUUAUUAGGGAAGAACAAACGUGUAAGUAACUGUGCACGUCUUGACGGUACCUAAACAGAAAGCCACGGCUAACUACGUG